GACGAACGCUGGCGGCGUGCCUAAUACAUGCAAGUAGAACGCACAGUUUAUACCGUAGCUUGCUACACCAUAGACUGUGAGUUGCGAACGGGUGAGUAACGCGUAGGUAACCUGCCUGGUAGCGGGGGAUAACUAUUGGAAACGAUAGCUAAUACCGCAUAAUAUUAAUUAUUGCAUGAUAAUUAAUUGAAAGGUGCAAUUGCACCACUACCAGAUGGACCUGCGUUGUAUUAGCUAGUAGGUGAGGUAACGGCUCACCUAGGCGACGAUACAUAGCCGACCUGAGAGGGUGAUCGGCCACACUGGGACUGGGACACGGCCCAGACUCCUACGGGAGGCAGCAGUAGGGAAUCUUCGGCAAUGGACGAAAGUCUGACCGAGCAACGCCGCGUGAGUGAAGAAGGUUUUCGGAUCGUAAAGCUCUGUUGUAAGAGAAGAUCGGGUGUGAGAGUGGAAAGUUCACACUGUGACGGUAUCUUACCAGAAAGGGACGGCUAACUACGUG
Molecule: ribosomal RNA, 505 nt
Filed under: uncultured bacterium
Lineage: Bacteria
Description: partial 16S ribosomal RNA
Rfam family: Bacterial small subunit ribosomal RNA
Source: RNAcentral